RNAcentral lists this long non-coding RNA (397 nucleotides) under Lepisosteus oculatus (spotted gar). Its description in RNAcentral is "lncRNA (ENSLOCG00000021755.1)". Lineage: Eukaryota; Metazoa; Chordata; Actinopteri; Semionotiformes; Lepisosteidae. The record is from RNAcentral.
AUGCUUAAAAGAGACAACGUUCUGACUGUGGAGCUUUCUUCAGGUGUGAAGGCUUCACAGCUGAAACGGUGGUUGUUUUCUUUGCCUUUUCAACCCGGAAUAAACCUUUCCUUGUUCCUUUGCAGCCUACGCAUGCUGACUCGUACGUAUCGGGUGGAGAAGAAGGGCACUCCAGGCUGCUCUGAAAUGAAUGGUACAUUCAAACGUGCACACAGCAGCUCAGCAAUGUCUCUGGGCAGGUUUCCUAUUUGCAGAUCCUUCACUCUUGCGAUUUAGGCACGGCAGCGAUGGACAGCCGUAAUCUGGGAAGAGCUCAGCCCAGUGGGGAUCCUGGAUUGUCUUUGAAUGGUCACCUGCUUCAGACCUGGGAAAACGAGCAGACAUCCCACAGUAUGAC